Non-coding RNA from Mycena vulgaris, 93 nucleotides. The record is from the annotation of a GenBank genome assembly. NCBI's taxonomy places the organism in Eukaryota, Fungi, Basidiomycota, Agaricomycetes, Agaricales, Mycenaceae.
GGCUCGAUGGCGGACGGUCCGCGUCUGCACUGCCUGUUUGCUUCUGCCACUCAUCCCAGGCAGAAGAUCCCCGUUCGACUCGGGGUCGAGCCA